UCCAACAGGAUGGGAUCAGUUGCCUUCAGCUCAGGCUUUUGAGACGGUUAGAGCUCCUAUGAAAUACCUGGAAAGGUGAAUAUCAAUCCUCUCAGCUUUCAGCCCCCUUUUAUUCUUUUCUCGUAAUAUUGUCACUUUCAAGCUCUUUUGAGCUUCCUCUCACUGAAAUUCUAAUCCAUCCUGCCAGCCUUGACAAUAACACAUGCAAGAUUUAUUCACUGACCUUCCAAAUCACAACUUUUUGCUCCGACAAUUUCUUCUUCUGUUUACUUUAACAACACCUUUCUCUCUGUUCCUCCCUCUCUCUUUUUUUAACCUAACUCAGUUUGUUCCUCACUAAAGCUACAAUAUUCAUCUCGUGCUAAGCCUUGAUGAUAACAUUCCACAACCUCCAGCUCUCUUUCUAAUCCACCCGUCUUCUCUCCUUUUUACAUAUCCUUUCCUUUGUGUUUCAGUGAACUCAUUUUAUACAAAUCUUUCGAACAUUCACCCUGUUCAUACUCUUCCCAUCUUACGAAAAUGGUCAAAUGGACCCCAGAAAUGGACCAGCAAUUGCUGCUGAAAAUUUUGGAAACUCACGAACUAAGCGUGGAUGCAACAAGCGUGUCCGAAGCAUGGCCCGGCGACGACCCGAAAGCUAAGCCCACUCCUCGGGCUAUUACUGAGCGUCUGGUCAAAAUCAAGUCUCGCAUCAAAAAUGGAAAAAGUGCAACUCCUACCUCCACUCCAACAAAGCUAGCCACACCGAACCCCCGUAACCGCACGUCCGCAAAACGCAAGCGCGGGGAUGCCACUUUGACCGGCAAAAAAGAUAUCAAAACUGGGACUUACAAUUCCCCCACUUCGAAUAUAAAAACUAUUAAACACGAAUACAACGAUGAAGAUGAUUUCCCAAUUGAUGGGAUGGUGGUUCAUAACAUGCGUACCCUAUCUAAAC
Molecule: small RNA, 937 nt
Filed under: Histoplasma capsulatum var. duboisii H88
Lineage: Eukaryota; Fungi; Ascomycota; Eurotiomycetes; Onygenales; Ajellomycetaceae
Description: Histoplasma capsulatum H88 hypothetical RNA
Source: RNAcentral